GAGUGAACGCUGGCGGUAGGCCUAACACAUGCAAGUCGAACGGCAGCACAGUAAGAGCUUGCUCUUACGGGUGGCGAGUGGCGGACGGGUGAGGAAUACAUCGGAAUCUACUUUUUCGUGGGGGAUAACGUAGGGAAACUUACGCUAAUACCGCGUACGACCUACGGGUGAAAGCAGGGGAUCUUCGGACCUUGCGCGAUUGAAUGAGCCGAUGUCGGAUUAGCUAGUUGGCGGGGUAAAGGCCCACCAAGGCGACGAUCCGUAGCUGGUCUGAGAGGAUGAUCAGCCACACUGGAACUGAGACACGGUCCAGACUCCUACGGGAGGCAGCAGUGGGGAAUAUUGGACAAUGGGCGCAAGCCUGAUCCAGCCAUACCGCGUGGGUGAAGAAGGCCUUCGGGUUGUAAAGCCCUUUUGUUGGGAAAGAAAAGCAGCAGGUUAAUACCCCGCUGUUCUGACGGUACCCAAAGAAUAAGCACCGGCUAACUUCGUG
RNAcentral lists this ribosomal RNA (493 nucleotides) under uncultured bacterium. Its description in RNAcentral is "partial 16S ribosomal RNA". It matches the Rfam family "Bacterial small subunit ribosomal RNA", at positions 27 to 507 of the family's 1533-position model. The record is from RNAcentral.